CCCCGGGCCACACACUUCUUCAUAUGCCCAUAGGGAGCUGCCCGAACUAUGGAAUGUUAAGAAGUGUGUGUUCUUGGG
RNAcentral lists this microRNA precursor (78 nucleotides) under Ornithorhynchus anatinus (platypus). RNAcentral describes it as "mir-1 microRNA precursor family". It matches the Rfam family "mir-1 microRNA precursor family". Rfam says of the family: This family represents the microRNA (miRNA) mir-1 family. miRNAs are transcribed as ~70nt precursors (modelled here) and subsequently processed by the Dicer enzyme to give a ~22nt product. In this case the mature sequence comes from the 3' arm of the precursor. Lineage: Eukaryota; Metazoa; Chordata; Mammalia; Monotremata; Ornithorhynchidae. The record is from Rfam by way of RNAcentral.